This 497-nucleotide ribosomal RNA is filed under the name uncultured bacterium. RNAcentral describes it as "partial 16S ribosomal RNA". It matches the Rfam family "Bacterial small subunit ribosomal RNA", at positions 28 to 507 of the family's 1533-position model. The record is from RNAcentral.
GACGAACGCUGGCGGCGUGCCUAAUACAUGCAAGUUGAGCGCUGAAGGUUGGUACUUGUACCAACUGGAUGAGCAGCGAACGGGUGAGUAACGCGUGGGGAAUCUGCCUUUGAGCGGGGGACAACAUGUGGAAACGAAUGCUAAUACCGCAUAAAAACUUUAAACACAAGUUUUAAGUUUGAAAGAUGCAAUUGCAUCACUCAAAGAUGAUCCCGCGUUGUAUUAGCUAGUUGGUGAGGUAAAGGCUCACCAAGGCGAUGAUACAUAGCCGACCUGAGAGGGUGGUCGGCCACAUUGGGAGUGAGACACGGCCCAAACCCCUACGGGAGGCAGCAGUAGGGAAUCGUCGGCAAGCGACGAAAGUCUGACCGCGCAACGCCGCGGGAGUGAAGAAGGGUUUCGGGUCGUAAAACUCUGUUGGUAGGGAAGAACGUGGGUGAGAGUGGAAAGCUCAUCAAGUGACGGUAACUACCCAGAAAGCGACGGCUAACUACGUG